UCUUUGUUCCGUUGUGUACUCAUUGAGCACAUCGAGCAUUUUUUCGCCUUUUUCUCUUGCUCUUUUGUAAAUAAUUGGGUUCCGAUUUACUCAUUUGCCAUGUAUAAAGAGUAAAAGGAUACGGAUGAAUAAAACGCCGAACUUUAACA
This is a non-coding RNA of Caenorhabditis elegans, 149 nucleotides long. The record is from Ensembl. NCBI's taxonomy places the organism in Eukaryota, Metazoa, Nematoda, Chromadorea, Rhabditida, Rhabditidae.